UACCCUACCGCCUAACACCCACUUUAUCCGCUUUUUCUUGUUUGAUAGGCGAACCUUUUAAUGACCAAAAUACCCUUUUAUUGAAUUUGUGUAAAACAAACCAAAUAGUUCCAAAUGGUUGCGUCUUCUUAGAGUUGUAACAUCCUUUGAAGAUUCUUGAAAAAAUAAAUUCUUCUCACAGUCACCACUUUUCUUGUAAACCCCCACAAACCCAUUUGGAAGAAAACAAAAAUUGACAGUUUUCUUUUUUUGUUUUCUGAAGAAAAAAUGUAUGACUUUGGGGAUGAAUUGAUAAUUGAUAGCUUUAAAAUUCCAUGGUUGAUUUGGAUUCAGUUAGUGGUGAUGAUUCUUCUUGUGUUGCUUCUUUUCUUUGGGUUUAGUGUUUUGGAUCUUUCAAAUAACUCUACUUCUGGAACUUCUUCGCAAGGUUCUUCUUUGCCCUCUAAUGCAAUUACAAUCCUUCAGGGUCUUUUGGAAUCAACCUCUCUACUCUUACAAAGUAGGAAUAAGGUUUGUGUUCAUAUCGCCCUCUCCUAAUCUCACUUAUGGGAUUGUACUGCAUCGGAACCUAAACCAACAUGCCAAAGGAGAAAAUGAAGCUAGCACUAGCCGUGAAAUCAGCGCAGAUGAAUCUCAAGAAAGAGAAGGAUCUGCAGAAAAGGACACAGCCAUUUUUAAGUGUUGUGUACGUACAGAGCACCCUUGCAAUUACUUUGGACUAGCCAAACAAGCAUUUCUCAAGUGCUUGGGCUUUGAUUCCGAUCGCGACAAUUGUAACACCAGAAGACAUGCUAAAGAAGACUAAUGGGAAGAUGCUAUAUUAGUUUUAGGUUCUUGAGAUGCACAAAGGUUCAGGUCUUUGAAAGAGUAGAUGCUGGUAGGUAUUUAUAAGUGUAUAUUGCAAGUCACAUGACUUUUGAAGCCUCCCCCCUUCCCCUCUUCUUAUUUUUUCAUAGAAACGUGUAACUCUACUCACCAAGGUUAGGACUGACAGGAAAAAUUAUCUAGUGGUUUUGUGCAAUUUAAUUCUAACCCUCAAUUAUUGUUCUUAGCAUGUAGUAGCUCUUUCAUGUGAGCAAAGAUUAACCUUUCAUUGAUUUGUCUACUAUACAAUUGCGUAUCUACCAUGUAUAUAUAGAAUAGAAGAUAACCAGCUUUUUAUUGAGCACUAUGCCUUGCUAAUUGA
Non-coding RNA from Solanum lycopersicum (tomato), 1186 nucleotides. The record is from RefSeq and is a predicted model, not a curated record. Lineage: Eukaryota; Viridiplantae; Streptophyta; Magnoliopsida; Solanales; Solanaceae.